Molecule: small nucleolar RNA, 71 nt
Organism: Rana temporaria (common frog)
Lineage: Eukaryota; Metazoa; Chordata; Amphibia; Anura; Ranidae
Product: small nucleolar RNA SNORD101
Exons: 1
Source: RefSeq, a predicted model, not a curated record
GUAUGAAUGAUGUUAUUAUUAAGUCGGAUACCCCUUCACUCAUUGUGAGUGACACUCUGAAUCUGACAUAA